AUUGAACGCUGGCGGCAGGCCUAACACAUGCAAGUCGAGCGCGAAAGUUCUUCGGAAUGAGUAAAGCGGCGGACGGGUGAGUAAUACAUGGGAAUCUGCCUGGUAGUGGGGGACAACGUUUCGAAAGGAACGCUAAUACCGCAUACGCCCUACGGGGAAAGGGGGGAGUCUUCGGACCUCUCGCUAUCAGAUGAGCCCAU
RNAcentral lists this ribosomal RNA (200 nucleotides) under uncultured bacterium. RNAcentral's name for it is "partial 16S ribosomal RNA". It matches the Rfam family "Bacterial small subunit ribosomal RNA", at positions 30 to 234 of the family's 1533-position model. The record is from RNAcentral.